Molecule: transfer-messenger RNA, 372 nt
Filed under: Tengunoibacter tsumagoiensis
Lineage: Bacteria; Bacillati; Chloroflexota; Ktedonobacteria; Ktedonobacterales; Dictyobacteraceae
Description: Standard tmRNA
Rfam family: transfer-messenger RNA
About the family: Bacterial tmRNA, also known as 10Sa RNA or SsrA, is named for its dual tRNA and mRNA-like properties. Its role is to liberate the mRNA from a stalled ribosome. To accomplish this part of the tmRNA is used as a reading frame that ends in a translation stop signal.
Source: Rfam by way of RNAcentral
GGGGAUGUCGGGUUUCGACAGACGAUCAGAUUGUUGAAUUGCAGGUCGAGGUGUCGGUACGCACUCUCGUUAAACAACCGACAAAACAUAGUUGCCAAAACAAGCAACAACAACUUCGCUCUCGCUGCCUAAUAACCAGUGACGCGACAUCCGCCCAACUUUUUCUCGUGGGGUUGGGGUACGGGUGCCAUAAAACGCGAGAUGCUCUUACACUGAACGCCCUCUAGGUGUAAGCUAAGACCAGCGGGCCAGCGCACCAGGAAUUUUGUCGAUGGGAGUCCGGGGCGUAAUGAAACACAUCGACUAAACCUGUAGUACAUUCUCCAGUGGGAUCGCCUGGACAGGGAGUUCAACUCUCCCUCAUCUCCACCA